Orbicella faveolata is the source of this 618-nucleotide long non-coding RNA. NCBI's taxonomy places the organism in Eukaryota, Metazoa, Cnidaria, Anthozoa, Scleractinia, Merulinidae. The record is from RefSeq and is a predicted model, not a curated record.
CAAAAAUAUCAGUGCAGGUUCUAUUUCAGUGGAAUGACCUUAAAAAACUCAAACCUAAACCUCGUACCCAUGCCCAAGCUCUUCUCUUCUUUUGGGUUGAGGAGAAGACACCGGGGACGAGGUUGCAUAAGAGUUUGUCAUUUUGGCGUCCAUUUUGAAAAUCGUCUGGUGAUGUAAACACUCCAAAAACAGUACUCUUCGCUACAGGGAAUUCGAGAGGCAACAUGGAUCGCAGAUAAAAAUCAUCUUGGUUUCCACUCAGUGUUUAUACAUCCUAUAAGGCUGGUAACAAGAAAUACAACGAUCGGACGUAACCCCAGAGGUCUGGAACGUUGAUAGGCCUAGCAAUCAUGAUGGGUGCGAGUUCCAAGUGCCUCAAGAGUACACUCGUUAAGUCAAUCCGGAGUUCACAGGGGACUUAAAUGUAAGGGAUGACAGCAGCUUCCACGUAACCUGAGGAAAGAAGGAAGUGAUCUCUUACUUACAGCAGAAUACUCGAGAUGUGUUUGCCCUAGUGUGCUUUCUGAAGAUGGGACGCCGCAGAUAUCCUCUUCUGCUCCUGAACCAAUCUUAUGGUCACAACCAACACCCUGGUGUAUAAAGGACAUUUUCAAAAUU